UACUCCCCUUGCAAUACCCCCUUGCGCUCCUCCCACAGGCGGAGCCCUUGGUGGCGUGUGACACCAUGUAGUUUUUAGGGUUACCAAAGAAGUGGCCGACGCCCCCUAAAUGCAUAGACUAUGAGAAAACUAAUUAGCCCGUAUUUUACAUUGGACCGAUUCUACGCAUGAUUUUGAAUGACGCGUAAAUUGGGUUUGGAAUCUCCGUGCACGGUGCAGCUAUGUAUUUUUCUCACAAUAAAUCAACGAUGCUCCUCUCAACAUUGAUUUGGAGUGCUGUCAGGUAUUUGCUGUGAUGUGAUUUGUCUGAUAACAGUUUUUCCCCAAACCCAGCCGCGGCUCUUUCCACAGGUUGUCACUUUCUAAAUAGGCUACUGUUGUGUCUACACUUUUCAGGUGCUGAUUGACCCAACGGGUUUGAAAUAUCCCUCUCUCCCUUAUGUACUCAUUCCCAAGACAGAUCAUAACCCUGAACUCUGUUCUUCUCGCCCUUUUUUCAACCAAAGUACUCUCACCAUCUCUUAUUUCAGUUGAAGUAAUCCCCAGCAAGGGUUGGGUGAUGACAAGGGGGCAGGUCACUAUGAACUUUAGUGAAGAAAAUGGUCACUCUGUAACCAAAUAGGUCCCGGACUCCUGAGGAGAGGGGCCGGAGAGAGAGGGAGAAUGCCCAAUGUAUGGGAAAGGAUGCCCUGCUCUUAUCAAAGCUAGCCACUGGCAAACAGUUGUUUUCUGUCCCUUUGAAAUCGAAAUCUGUGGUUGAAGAAGUGCUGAUGGAUUAAAUGUAGAAGGGGUGUCUUCCUACAUAAAACCCCACACUCUAAAACCACUUCACGCCACACGCAAUGAUGAAUAGAGAUUGCAGAGAUUUUUUAUUGCGAAAGCAUACCGUCAGAAAAGAAAUAGUGAAUUUGACAGUUUGUCAGAGUCCUCCUUCGGGGGGGAAGUGAAUGCAGACUUGAAAACCUUGUUCUAGGGCUCACAGAAGGUAAAGAAGACCAUUACAAACAUGUUUUGUGCCUCCAGUACAAAUGUUUACCCAACUAUUCAUUGCAUUUUAUGUACACUCGUGUUUUAGUAGAUACUCCACCAUGCAUGGGACAACACAGAAAUGACUGUGAAAUACAUUAUUCUUGCCCACAUUGUUUCUAGUGACUCUUGAAUGUAAAUCAAACCACUUUGGUUUUAGAGACCCUAAUGCUAGAUUGAGAGAUAUAAUGUAUGUUUAGAUCAUUUAAAAAAUAGAAAUGUAGUUGAUAUUUUCACUCUCUUUGUUGUUUUCUAUUGGCGUGCACUUUUCUUUUUUGCACAAUCUCUAAUGUUUUUCUCUUCCAAAAGACUGCGGAAAAAGUCUGCAGGUCUGCAAACCCCAAUGUAAGCUGCAGGAGCUUGUAGAUAGCAUUCGGAAAUCAGAAUACAAAAUACCUAUGAGCUACUUACAAUGCAAAUCAGAAGUGUGAACAGCCGUAAGAGGGCUCUUCAGUCAAGAAUGGGUAUUAAAAUGAAGUAAGAAUGCAGGGAAGAUAAAGAGAAAAAUAAGCAGAGUCUUGUAGAGGUUGAGUCAACAAUGGUUGUUUUCCAGUCACAACUCAUCCAUGGCCCACAGCAAGUUAGCAGAGAACAUUUUCAUCACGAUUGAAGCACUCCAAUAUCACCUUCACCAUUUUUGUUACCACAUAGAAAAGGAGGUACACCUUUUUGUUGUUGACUUUUGGGUUUCCCCCAAAAAUAAGGAGUUUUUGAAAUAUGCUUUUCAUCUGUCUGUAAGGAAUGCCAACUGGUUGCAGCAUAUUUAAAUGGGUGGGUCUUCAAUAAAAGUGUUUUGAUUAA
Long non-coding RNA from Oncorhynchus keta (chum salmon), 1827 nucleotides. RefSeq lists it as uncharacterized. The transcript has 2 exons. The record is from RefSeq and is a predicted model, not a curated record. NCBI's taxonomy places the organism in Eukaryota, Metazoa, Chordata, Actinopteri, Salmoniformes, Salmonidae.